This 194-nucleotide ribosomal RNA is filed under the name uncultured bacterium. Its description in RNAcentral is "partial 16S ribosomal RNA". It matches the Rfam family "Bacterial small subunit ribosomal RNA", at positions 338 to 524 of the family's 1533-position model. The record is from RNAcentral.
CCUACGGGAGGCAGCAGUGGGGAAUAUUGGACAAUGGGCGAAAGCCUGAUCCAGCCACGCCGCGUGUGUGAAGAAGGUCUUCGGAUUGUAAAGCACUUUAAGUUGGGAGGAAGGGCAUUAACCUAAUACGUUAGUGUUUUGACGUUACCGACAGAAUAAGCACCGGCUAACUCUGUGCCAGCAGCCGCGGUAAU